CAGUAGCCGCGGUAAAACGGAGGGUGCAAGCGUUAAUCGGAAUUACUGGGCGUAAAGCGCACGCAGGCGGUCUGUCAAGUCAGAUGUGAAAUCCCCGGGCUUAACCUGGGAACUGCAUUUGAAACUGGCAGGCUAGAGUCUUGUAGAGGGGGGUAGAAUUCCAGGUGUAGCGGUGAAAUGCGUAGAGAUCUGGAGGAAUACCGGUGGCGAAGGCGGCCCCCUGGACAAAGACUGACGCUCAGGUGCGAAAGCGUGGGGAGCAAACAGGAUUAGAGACCCCAGUAGUCCCUGUCUCUUAUAC
RNAcentral lists this ribosomal RNA (301 nucleotides) under uncultured bacterium. RNAcentral's name for it is "partial 16S ribosomal RNA". It matches the Rfam family "Bacterial small subunit ribosomal RNA", at positions 509 to 807 of the family's 1533-position model. The record is from RNAcentral.